ACCCACCCACAGCCAGCCAGCUGAUGAGCCCAGCACAUCUUGCUUUUCUUGGGCACUACUGGGAUGAGAGCACAGGCACGUUCUUCAUACAGCUGAGGCAGAGCAGAACAUCCAGCAGCCAAACAUGACCAGCUGAGCAUGGAAGAUCUUCAAGCAAUAGAACAAGAAGAAAUGGACCCAAGCUGCACCAGGGAAGGUUGAGAUUGGAUAUUAGGAAAAAAAUUCUUAAUGGCAAGGGUUAUCAUGCUUUGGAAUCGGCUGCCCAGGGAAGUGCUGAAAUCAUCAUCUCUGGAGUGUGUUCCAAGCCACUGCAGAAUCACAGGACAGCCCAAGCUGGAAGGGACACAGAAGGCUACAGAGUCCAGCUCUUCAGUUAAUUGCUCAGGUAGGGAUUGAAC
Molecule: long non-coding RNA, 398 nt
Organism: Passer domesticus (house sparrow)
Lineage: Eukaryota; Metazoa; Chordata; Aves; Passeriformes; Passeridae
Exons: 3
Source: RefSeq, a predicted model, not a curated record